Aquila chrysaetos chrysaetos is the source of this 107-nucleotide long non-coding RNA. RefSeq lists it as uncharacterized. Lineage: Eukaryota; Metazoa; Chordata; Aves; Accipitriformes; Accipitridae. The transcript has 2 exons. The record is from RefSeq and is a predicted model, not a curated record.
UUUGUAUAUUCCAAUUCUUUUAUUAUUAUUAUUGUCAUUUUAUUAUUGUUUCAUUAUCAUUAGUAGUUCUUCUUUUCUGUUAUAUUUAAAACGUUCUUAUCUCAACC